UCCCAGAUAAGUGUCCACAGAACCUUCUAGCUGGUUACACAACUACACCAUUCUGACAACAGCAGAGGCACCUGUGAUGUCAAGAAGCUCAGAAGGAGAUUCAUGACCAGUUAAGAGAGGUGGUGGCAGCAGCAACACAGAAGAGGUGAGAUGCAGGCUGCUGUAGCAGAGUAAAUGCAUUCCUGGGCUAUCUAGACAAUGACUCUGGAUUUGGCUACUCCAGGACAGGUCUCUAACAGGCUAAAUUGUCUGAUGUAGAUGAAGCAUAGAAAGAACCAGCAGACCCUGAUCAACCUGGGCUCUUUAGUGGAAAAGCUUGCCAGAAGGUGUCAGCCCUCAAGCUGUGUCACCCUUUCGUGAGAGUGAAGAUCUCGAGAUUGGCCCAAAGGUCACCAAACUUUCCCUAUCUGCAUGAUAUUCGGGGGCCUUCCAGAUUUCCAUCAUACACCCAAAGUGCCACCAUCAGUUUGGAUGCUUUGGAUGAAUAGCUAUGGAAUAAUGCUAUAACAGAGUUGACACUGGGGUUGUAUGGAGGGAAUCUUCAAAGUUUCACAUCUGCAACAAAAUUGGAUCACUGUAGUUUGUUGGGAGCUGGCAGGAGAAGUGUCUUCCCUUCCUCUGAGCUAUUAGCAUUAAUACUGGGCUGCUGGUGACACACUCUCUGGGAAACAGGAAUGACCAAGCAAUGGAAGCUCAGGAAUGAGUAUACAGAGUCAAAUGAAAACAAGCCAGCAUAACACAUCUCAGCACACAGCUCAGUGCAAAGGUUUGGAAUGACACAGGCUAUUGUUCACCAAUAUGUGUUCAUUUCAUAGGAAAUUCUUCAUAAGACUCACACUUUGAAUUUCUUUUUCAUUUUUUCUUACCAACUGAUCUUUUUCCAAAUCUUUCAAAAGGAAGAUUUCCGUCCCAUUUCCAGUGAAAAGUCUUCUAGCAGCAAAAGUGCCUGCUGGGCCCUUGUCCAGGCCCCGUCAUGUUGCUUUGGCUGCUUCCCUGCAGCCAGGGAAGAAAAAAUGCUGCUCCAGCCGGAUGAGUGAGCAAGGGAGGGUGAGUGAGAGAGUGAAGGCCAGCGGCAGCAGCAAAAGCCUGGAAGAGGCAGCCAGGUCCGGCUUCUGCCUCCACUCCCUCUUCCAAGUCCUCCACGUUCCCCGUGUGCCCCGGCUGGAGCGCAACAGAAGGCAGCCCAGUCGACAGCCUAUCUGAAUGCUACUCAUUGUUCAGCGAUGUAUGAAGUGUAUUUAAUCAAUCUGAAAAAGUAAUAUUAAACCAUUAUCAAAAGCAUCAGAUGUUCUAAACCCCUUAAAAGAAAGGUCAAAAGGUGACAUCUCUGCUAACAAUUUAUAAAAAGUUGAAGAAAUAUACAGAGAAACACAUGAAUCCUUGAGCAAUCUGUUCAGUUCUGUGAGCUGGAUAGGCAACAGCAACCUCAUAUUGUGGACUUUUGCAGAGACUUGAGAUGCAAGACUCCCAGUCUGUACCAACAAAUCCCAUCUCUGCUAACAAAAGCUUACUUAUUAAAUUGCUUUUCCUAAGUUAUUCAAACGUU
This is a long non-coding RNA of Anolis carolinensis (green anole), 1546 nucleotides long. RefSeq lists it as uncharacterized. The transcript has 6 exons. The record is from RefSeq and is a predicted model, not a curated record. Lineage: Eukaryota; Metazoa; Chordata; Lepidosauria; Squamata; Anolidae.